AAACCCUAUGCGCAACUAUUCAUUCUUCUUCUUUAUUCGCGUGGUUUCAUGGGAGAGAUCGCUGAUUUUUUGAUUCGAUUAUAAUCUCACAGGUCGUUGAAGAAUCCCUGAUGAUUUCACGGAUUUUCUUUUUUGAGGUCUUUGAAGCGAAAUUUGAAGGAAUCGGGAGCAGUUUUGAGAUCGAGGGUUACGGAUAAAGCUUAAGAAAGGGGUGAUGAUGGUUGUGCUGAUUGUUUUGGUUGACUAAAACUCAUGGGAAGAAAUUUUGGGCAAAGUUGAAUCAGAAGGAAAAGAAGAAACAUGCUAAAACCCUAUAAUUGUUAUCUACGCAGGGGUUUCUUAGGGGUUGCUGUUGGUGCUGGAUGGCAAAGUGUCAUAGCUUAUGUGAACCUAGCCUGCUAUUACUUGGUCAGAAUUCCUCUUGAAAUGAUCCUCGGUUACCUUAUCGAUUUUCAAGUUACAGUAAUUUAUUUACUAAAAGUUUGUCUAUACUAAACCAUAAAGCAAUCCUGAGUGAUAUAGCCAUCAAGUACUCUGAUGGUAAACAACGGCUGUGUGACGGUGUGAGGUCUGUCUUAUUAUCUACUUUUAGUCUCUACACCUACUGGAAAAAGUGCUAUUUAAAAAAGUACAGCAGAAAACGUUGCUUCCAAUGAGAUACGGUUUUCUGACUUUAAUUGGUCAAGUGCUACUUUGUUUGAAACUAACUCGAGUAUGCUAUUGUAUCUAAUGUAUAGCUUCCUUGCCUACCGAAUCUGCCACCCACCGUGGAAGACUUGAUGCAGACUUGAGUAUCAUCAAUACUUCAUUGGGAACGCCAAUUCAAAAGGGAUUGUUACCGAAUUUGUCAGUUCACGUGUACUGGAAUUUUUUUCUUUCGUAUUUUUUUCUAACAAGAUAAUUUGCUGGAAUGUAGUGUGUAUAGGGUUGCAACGGCCUAGAGGUACUAUUGUUUCUUACCGUUCAAUCGUGAUUAUGUACAUGAAAUCUCUAGAAUUAAAAUUUAUUCAUGUCUUUCCAUUAAGGGGGUGUGGUUAAGCGUCUAUACAUGCAGGGCUAUUCAAGUGAUAGUAUAGUUGUACUAUGGGAUCAAGUAGUUAUUGAAUUCUUCACCUAAUACAAACCUAUACCAGCCUGUGGAGAUUAAUGUUUGUGGUUGCAAUAGAGGCUUGGUAAAAUUCGCAAGGCUGGCAAUGGUUUGCAUUAAUUCUUUCAAUUCUAUGACAUAUGUAAUUUAAUCAAUUUUCUAUGGUGGAACCUAUAAUGAAUUGGGUUGGUGCGAUCAAGAGGUAUCAUUGUUUAGUAUGAUUUUAUGGUGACAAUGGUUAUGUCCUGAAUUACACAAUAGUUUGGCAUUUUUUAUUUGUCUGCACAUUAAACUUUUUUAUCUUUUUUUACUUCGCAUGGUGUCAGCUCGGGGUAGGGGUUGUGUUGCCUGCAUUGCACAAACAAUGAUUUCUGUAUGUUGAACUUGGAAAAUUUCGUCCAGCUUUGGAUUGUUUACUCACUGCCAUGGGGUGUUUUGUUGGAGCUGCUUUGGAAAAUGGGGGCCAUGAAACUAUGUAAUUUUGGAAACUCCAUGGUGACGUGUGAUUGCUAAUGCACUAGAGUUUCCAGUAUUACAUCGUUUGAUGGUUUCUCAUGCUAGCUGAAUCUAUAUUAUAAAAAGAAGUGGUGUCUGUCCCGGGUAAAAGACCGCCAUCAAUUUCGGCAUCCCACGGCGAAGAUCCUGAUUGGGCUACGCUUUUUCAAUAUGGGCAGGAACUGAGAAGCAAUGAAUAUGGAUGCAACCUAAGGGCUGAUUUGAGAGUGAAAGAAAUAGGUACAACAACAACAUUCAUAGACUGCAUAGAAGAUGGAGCUUGGAACAUUCCAGGGAAUACGUAACCUUUCGUCGGAUAUGAAUGAUCAAAUUCUAAAAAGAACUUGGGGAUAUCAACAUGGAGGAUAGGAGAGUAUGUGAGCGCAGCGUUAAUGAGAAGGAUGUAUAUGUAUUCAGCUGUAAGAGUAUUUAUAAAAACAAAUUCUGAUUUAGGGAACGUAAGGGUGCUACCUAAGAGAAAGUAGGUAUUGCAUUGAAGUUGGCGAGGAAAAAUGACGUUGGAGCCCAUUGCGUCAGUUUGCUUAAUGCCUAUAUGCUUUCAAUGCGCGAGACAACUGGUCACCUAAUGUCUUUUACGUUAUUGGUGUGUGGAGAUGGGUAAAGGAUGUAUUGCAUUGCAUUUCAAUAUUAAUACUUUUAAACCCUUGGCAGGUUCUGUUGAUCAUAGCCAUGGCCGGCACCUAUUUGGAGAAACUCCUCCCAGAAACCACCAUCGAGACAUGGAGUGGCCGGGACCCUUAGACUUGACUACAAUAGCAUAAGUGAGUUCAGAUGCAGUACUAAUAUAUUGAUGCAGUUAGGAAGAAUAGCCUCUCGGAUUCAUAGGUAAGCUCUUACUGUAUACAACCACCAUUCUAUUCUAUAUUAAGCAAUGGGAUAUUAAUAUUAAUAUUUAAAUUGAUUAGUCUUUUGCAAAUAUACUUAGCCACUGUAGAUGCUUUUCUUAUAUAGCUUAGGCUGUCAAUCUACUUUCAUUAUAUAUAGGUAUCACUUGACUGCAUUUCUUAUUUUUACACAAUAGAAGGAUGCAAUCAAAUUUAACUGCUUUCUUAGCUCAAUUUGGUGGACCAUGUAGUUGUGGGUUCGACUCCCACAGAUGGCAUAGCAAUGUAUUUUUGUAGAAAGCUAGCAUUGCUCUAAAAGCAACUAUCAGUGCGACCAUUUCAUCUACCUCUUCAAAGAGGUGAACUUUCAACCAUGUUGGCAGUGGUAACCGAAGACGGGGAUAACUAUUAAUUAACAAACUAAUAACUAAGAGGGUCUACAUAGAAAUGUAUUCAGUAAACAAUGUUACCAGAUGUCGGCACCGUGUACAUUUGUCGUUGUGUGCUCAUACAAGACUUUUGUUAAAACUAUUUUCGUCCUUACUGACAUUGACAUGCUGUAUUUGGGUGCAGUGUGCAUCCAUGGAAAAUUAAAACCGUUUAUUCAAUUAACAAAUAAGGACUCUUUACAGGUAAUAGCAAAGGAGAAGACCAUUAGGGUGGUCAUGUUUUGACACCCAAUGAUACUGCAACACUAAUCUAGAGGACAGUAUACUGUAAAUGUCUUUUUCUGUUUUGAUUUUUAAUCGUAAUAGCGAAGGAGAAAGACCAUUAUCAUAUGCAAUGUUUUGACACCCAAUGUGGGAAGAAAUUUAACCUGGUAUAUUGUGGUAAAUAGGCAGCACUUGCAAAUUGGGAGGAAGUUGGUCUACUCUCGGUUUGGUUCUUGAUUACUUAGUGAGGAAAUUGCUCGAUUUAGUACCAUGAAUUUUGGAUGAUUAGAUUGUAUCUGCCCAAUGUAAUUGCUGCUGUUGUUGAGAGGAAGAAUUUGGUGGUCUAUUGGCUGACUCAGUUUAAGGAAAUGGCUACACCAGUGAUAACGGAAGCUAGGGGUAGGAAAUUUGAUCAUGUUCAUAGGCUAGCAGGAAUCACUGAGAUUCUUUCCCAUGUCAAGCUCACUCAGACAAAGUGGUCUUAGUUAACCAAGAUCUGGUUAUGGUGCUGACACGUGGAUCUCAUAUGAAAGUAAUGCACCCUGGAAGAAAGGAAAUUUGUGUGCAAGAAGACUGCAUCGGAAACUCAGGUAACUAAAGGUUUGUCCUUAGGCAGAUGUAUCUUAACCAUUGCAUAUUUCAGUUUUGGCUUUAGCAAUCAGCAAGACAUUACCAUGUAUGGCUUUGAGACGUUGGCAAUCUUGAUUGAAACGGGAAACCACCUAAUUAGAAUAACUAACACAUUAUAUUUGCUUUUAAAUUU
This is a long non-coding RNA of Papaver somniferum (opium poppy), 3843 nucleotides long. RefSeq lists it as uncharacterized. Lineage: Eukaryota; Viridiplantae; Streptophyta; Magnoliopsida; Ranunculales; Papaveraceae. The record is from RefSeq and is a predicted model, not a curated record. The transcript is spliced from 13 exons.